Molecule: ribosomal RNA, 524 nt
Filed under: Listeria monocytogenes
Lineage: Bacteria; Bacillati; Bacillota; Bacilli; Caryophanales; Listeriaceae
Description: partial 23S ribosomal RNA
Rfam family: Bacterial large subunit ribosomal RNA
Source: RNAcentral
CCUUACGUGAAUACAUAGCGUAAGGAAGGCAGACCCAGGGAACUGAAACAUCUAAGUACCUGGAGGAAGAGAAAGAAAAAUCGAUUUCCUGAGUAGCGGCGAGCGAAACGGAAAGAGCCCAAACCAAGAAGCUUGCUUCUUGGGGUUGUAGGACACUCUAUACGGAGUUACAAAAGAAAGUUAUAAAUGAAGCGGUCUGGAAAGGCCCGCCAAAGACGGUAACAGCCCGGUAGUUGAAAUGGCUUUCCCUCCAGAGUGGAUCCUGAGUACGGCGGAACACGUGAAAUUCCGUCGGAAUCCGGGAGGACCAUCUCCCAAGGCUAAAUACUCCCUAGUGACCGAUAGUGAACCAGUACCGUGAGGGAAAGGUGAAAAGCACCCCGGAAGGGGAGUGAAACAGUUCCUGAAACCGUGUGCCUACAAGUAGUUAGAGCCCGUUAAUGGGUGAUAGCGUGCCUUUUGUAGAAUGAACCGGCGAGUUACGAUUUGUUGCAAGGUUAAGCGGAAAAAGCGGAGCCGUAGCG